CCGGAAUAGCUCAGUCGGUAGAGCAUAGGACUGAAAAUCCUCGUGUCACC
RNAcentral lists this transfer RNA (50 nucleotides) under Garovaglia angustifolia. RNAcentral describes it as "partial tRNA-Phe". The record is from RNAcentral. Lineage: Eukaryota; Viridiplantae; Streptophyta; Bryopsida; Ptychomniales; Ptychomniaceae.